GCUCCAGCCCUGGCGCCGAGGGACCGGCCACCCCCUCCCGGCCCCGACGGUCACUUACGGUGGGGGCGGGUGCCGCCGGGAGCGCUGCCGGCCGCGGGGACGGACCCCGGCCCGCCUGCGACAGGGGUGCCGGCCGGGAGGGGGGCGGCCUCCCGUUCGGUGUCGGAAGGGUGAAUGUUUGCCGGAAACCCGGGCGUUUAUUCCACUUGGCAGAAGCGCAGGGGGUCGGGGAGGGGGCAGGGGUGCGACGGGCGGCACGCGGUGCCCGGGGAAGGGGGCGAAGAGCGGGGCCCGAUGUGCCCGCUCGCCGCUCGGCUCUCGGAUCCGCUACCCGGUGGCUGCCGCCGUGAGUCACCCCCGGCCGCGGCAGCGUCAGCCUCGCCGCGGCGUUGGCAGCCAGACGAGCCGCGGCGCGGAGCCGCCGCUGUCCUCGCAUGAACCCGGCGGGGCUGCCAGCGCCAGCCGAGUGCGCGCAAGGCGAGAGCCGAGGCUGUGCCGGCGCGGCGGCGUGCGACACCCCUGCGGCGGGGAUGGCGGAGCCGGGGCGGGGGGCGGGAGCGGGGGGGGGCAGCCCCUCGGCGGCCGGGCCCGAAAGAAAUACAGAUGCAAAAGCAGGACGUGGGUAAAUGAGAGAAGAUAAGGUAUUGCUCCUGCAAGCAGAACAUCCUGUCUUCAAAGUGGGCAUUGUGUUCCUGUGGCUCUCUUGGCGGCUUGCUCUCGGCUGGUACCGCAGCCCAGCGCCCCAGCAGACCCAGAGCGAGUUCCUGGGAUGAAGAACGGGAGGAGAAGGGGCAGCGCUGCCGGCAGCAGCGUCCCUGCCCGGGCGGCUCACGGGCUGCGCUCAGCGGGCUGCGGAGCUUGGGGCGGGCGUGCGGGCAGGACAGAGGGGAACGGGAGAGUGAAAAGGAAGGAAGAAGUAAGGAAAUAACUCAGCCAGCACAGACACAGCUCAGCUAAGUCUCCUGGAAGUUCCUCAGAAAAUCAGAAAACCGGCAAGAUGCGCGCAUAUGCUGUGCAUGUGUGAAGGGCGCGCACUCACAGGUGCGCCUGCGGGAGGGCUCGAGUGUGUGAGCGCUUGUCUGAACAGCAGCAACCUCCUGGUUCCAUUCUGCAGCCACGUCAGAAAUAAAAGAGGUGCUGGAAUAUUUACGGGGACCA
RNAcentral lists this long non-coding RNA (1158 nucleotides) under Junco hyemalis (dark-eyed junco). RNAcentral's name for it is "lncRNA (ENSJHYG00000004936.1)". The record is from RNAcentral. Lineage: Eukaryota; Metazoa; Chordata; Aves; Passeriformes; Passerellidae.